RNAcentral lists this ribosomal RNA (291 nucleotides) under uncultured bacterium. Its description in RNAcentral is "partial 16S ribosomal RNA". It matches the Rfam family "Bacterial small subunit ribosomal RNA", at positions 505 to 796 of the family's 1533-position model. The record is from RNAcentral.
GUGCCAGCGCCGCGGUAAUACGGAGGGUGCGAGCGUUAAUCGGAAUUACUGGGCGUAAAGCGCGCGUAGGCGGUUUGUUAAGUUGGAUGUGAAAUCCCCGGGCUCAACCUGGGAAUGGCACCCGAUACUGGCCGACUAGAGUACGAGAGAGGGAGGUAGAAUUCCACGUGUAGCGGUGAAAUGCGUAGAUAUGUGGAGGAAUACCGGUGGCGGAGGCGGCCUCCUGGCUCGAUACUGACGCUGAGGUGCGAAAGCGUGGGGAGCAAACAGGAUUAGAUACCCGAGUAGUCC